RNAcentral lists this long non-coding RNA (633 nucleotides) under Equus caballus (horse). RNAcentral describes it as "lncRNA (ENSECAG00000059087.1)". The record is from RNAcentral. Lineage: Eukaryota; Metazoa; Chordata; Mammalia; Perissodactyla; Equidae.
CUCUUCUCCUCUCCGAGCUAUUUGAAGACUCUAGGAGAGUUUAGAAUUAAAUAUUACGUUAAAUCAAGUUUGAGAUUGAAGUUUUAAAGUAGACUGGAUGUUUAGUAAUCAAAAGUGACUAAGAAGUUAUCGGGUCUGCCUGCGGAUGCCCUUGAAGGACAAGAAUGGGUGAUUUGCAGCUCAUGGUUGGUUAGAAGCAGAGUAAAACAGUUACAUCAUUAUACUGCACUGAAGCACGUGCUUCCACAGUUAAAUAACCUAAAUUACUCUUAUGAAUUAAGAGAAGAGAGUCAAAGAGCUGUAUCUUGGAAGAAACUGGCAUGUUGCACUUAAAGGACUAGAGAAGAGAAGGAUGGAGUCAUAUAGAGACUCAACGUGACGGAGUGAGUAAACUGAGUUCAGAGAAGCAGAAGGACUUCCAAAGGCCACUCAACUUGGCAGAGCUCACCCUGGACCCAGGCCUCAGAACAUCGAGCCCAGGUCUCUACCUUGACCAGGAUUUUCCUGGCUCUGUUUUGUGAGUACUCAAUUUCUCUUACCAUGUGUGAAAAAUGUUAAUAACCUUCUCUCUCCAAACAUUCUUCCCCAGAGGAAUAAUAGAUCAAGGAGAGAGAGAGGUUUGCCAUCAUGGAG